UUAAGAGCUAAGCAAUAGGCAAACUUUAUAUCUCCCCUACAUAGUCUUGAUAAAAUGCAUAGAUCAUACUAUAUGUUUUGUUUCUUGGUACUAAUAUUUUUUAUGUUGUAGGGAGUACUUUGUGAAGACUCACAUGGAUGGCAAUGAACUUGAAGCAACAGAAUUGCUCAUCACGCGCCAUGGAUGACCGGAGAAGUGUUUCGAGGACUGAAGUGAUGGAAGAUGGUAUCUGGUUAUGUGGAGGCAAGUCACCUGCAAUUGGCUAUUUUUAGUGACUUUAAAUAUAUGUUGCAACCUUUAAAGUUUCUAGCAUUCAACUAAUUGUUGUAAUGUUGAUAUUAUAUUACAACUUAUGCUUUUUCUAUGUUAUCUUUAAAUGUGUGAAAAUUUGAAAUUUGUAUCCGAAUGAACAUAAAAAGAUUAGUAGUUGGUAAUUAGUUUUAUAUUCGUACUUUGAACCUCGCGACAUACAGAAUAUAGAAUGACUUGACGAA
This is a long non-coding RNA of Capsicum annuum, 494 nucleotides long. RefSeq lists it as uncharacterized. The transcript is spliced from 2 exons. Lineage: Eukaryota; Viridiplantae; Streptophyta; Magnoliopsida; Solanales; Solanaceae. The record is from RefSeq and is a predicted model, not a curated record.